This 58-nucleotide non-coding RNA is filed under the name Citrus x clementina. The record is from RNAcentral. Lineage: Eukaryota; Viridiplantae; Streptophyta; Magnoliopsida; Sapindales; Rutaceae.
GACUGGUUUCGCCCUGCCUUGGGUUCAUCAGGAGAACGGCUUCAGUUCCCAACCAGUG